UACACACCGCCUGUCACACCAUGGGAGCGGGUUCUGCCAGAAGUAGUUAGCCUAACCGCAAGGAGGGCGAUUACCACGGCAGGGUUCGUGACUGGGGUG
This 99-nucleotide ribosomal RNA is filed under the name uncultured bacterium. RNAcentral describes it as "partial 16S ribosomal RNA". It matches the Rfam family "Bacterial small subunit ribosomal RNA", at positions 1384 to 1482 of the family's 1533-position model. The record is from RNAcentral.